GACGAACGCUGGCGGCGUGCUUAACACAUGCAAGUCGAACGGUAAGGCCCUUUCGGGGGUACACGAGUGGCGAACGGGUGAGUAACACGUGGGUAAUCUGCCCUGCACUCUGGGAUAAGCCUGGGAAACUGGGUCUAAUACCGGAUAUGAGCCUUCAUCGCAUGGUGGGGGUUGGAAAGUUUUUUCGGUGCAGGAUGUGCCCGCGGCCUAUCAGCUUGUUGGUGGGGUAAUAGCCUACCAAGGCGACGACGGGUAGCCGGCCUGAGAGGGUGAUCGGCCACACUGGGACUGAGACACGGCCCAGACUCCUACGGGAGGCAGCAGUGGGGAAUAUUGCACAAUGGGCGGAAGCCUGAUGCAGCGACGCCGCGUGGGGGAUGACGGUCUUCGGAUUGUAAACCCCUUUCAGUAGGGACGAAGCGCAAGUGACGGUACCUGCAGAAGAAGCACCGGCCAACUACGUG
This 464-nucleotide ribosomal RNA is filed under the name uncultured bacterium. RNAcentral describes it as "bacterial SSU rRNA". It matches the Rfam family "Bacterial small subunit ribosomal RNA", at positions 28 to 507 of the family's 1533-position model. The record is from RNAcentral.